AUGACGCACAUGAGAAAACAACGUGCUGCACAAGGAUGGAUCCUUCCACUGAUAAAGUCGUGCAGCGAGUCAGAGGAGAAUGAAUGCUGCAGCGAAUACUUGACCUUGUUUACGUACAGUGACUUCGCAGAGCCGAACACGAGCCGAGCGUCAUUCGGGCUUUUCCGGAAACCUGAUGCGGAAUGAAAGCGGCGCCAUGUUUAUUGUGGCCUAAAAUAGUGAGUCUUGUCGUAUAGAUGAUUAUAAAUGUUAUUUUCUUUUCUUUUCUUUUCUUCGAACUUUAUAAAAAGAAGAACACAGUUAUAUGGUCCUCAAAAUCAAAAGUAGUCUAUAAUAAAUGUGAAUAAACAUGUGAAUUUGAGAAUUUCGCCAAAGUUUGUUUAAUUAUUUAUUUAUUGAACGUUAGCUGUCUAUGGAGGAUCAGAAAGCUUUCGGAUUUCAUCAAAAAUAUAUUGAUUUGUGUUCUGAAGAUAAAAAAAGGUCUUAUGGGUUUGGAGCAACAUGAGGGUGAGUAAUUAAUGACAGAAUUAAAAAUUUUGGGUGAACUAACCCCUUUAAGAUUUGAAGAAUUGCAUAGUCAAUGCAAUUAAGCACACAAGGGUUACUAACAGUGAGUAACUUGCUAAACUUGCUAAGUAACUACUAAAAAAAAACUUUCACUGAAAUAAAGGACAAAUUCACAUCUGUUCGUGUGUUCAUUGUGCAAAGAAUGAUGUCAGAAUCAACAAGGGUGAAGAUGUUGGAAAUCAAGCACUGUUCACUUCUGUUCCAGACUCUUACAUUGAUUGCCAUUGUGUUUUAACAGGAAGUCUUACAUGAAGAAAGCAAGUGUGUUGUGUCCAGAAUCCCCUUAAAGAGCCAAUUCAGUGUGAUUAGCAUCACUCGCUGAGCUGAGAUCUAAUGAAGAUGAAUCCGCUGUCUUCUUCUGACUGACGUGUGUCAUUCACUCUGUAUUGUGUGUGUGUGUGUGUGGAGAUUCAGGCUCCAGCUGUGCUGCUGCUGUGGACAGAAGACAAGCCUCUGUGGUGCCUCUCAUUAGGACAUCACUGAAGACAAUCAAGACUCUACAGGAGCUGAAGAGUUAGGCUUUAAACUGCUUCCAGGCAUUCACAGCUCAUUUGGUUGCAGGUAACUAAACAGGAAUAAAGGGUCAUCUGUUUCUAGUUAGGAGAGUGAAAGUUGCUACUUCCUGAAGUGACCACUAGAAGACACAAUUUCACUACAAUUCUUCAGGAUCCAGACGAAAGCUGUUGGUCUCUAGGCCAAAUGUUUUAAACAUUGUUUUAGAAAAGAGUAUCUUCUGCUCACUAGUGCUGCAUUAAAAAAAAUAGAUAUGAUAGAAACAGUAAUAUUGCUAAAUAUUAUUACAAAUUGAAAUUAAUUGUUUUCUAUGGGAAUAUAUGUUAAGAUGUGAUUUAUUCCUGUGCUGUAAAACUCAAUAUUCAGCAUCAUCCCUCCAGUCUUUACUGCAAAC
RNAcentral lists this long non-coding RNA (1474 nucleotides) under Carassius auratus (goldfish). RNAcentral describes it as "lncRNA (ENSCARG00000054241.1)". The record is from RNAcentral. Lineage: Eukaryota; Metazoa; Chordata; Actinopteri; Cypriniformes; Cyprinidae.